UAUUAUUUGUGAUAGUUGAGA
RNAcentral lists this non-coding RNA (21 nucleotides) under Caenorhabditis elegans. The record is from RNAcentral. Lineage: Eukaryota; Metazoa; Nematoda; Chromadorea; Rhabditida; Rhabditidae.